UGGGGAAUUGUUCGCAAUGGGCGCAAGCCUGACGACGCAACGCCGCGUGGAGGAUGACGGUCUUCGGAUUGUAAACUCCUGUUGCUCGGGACGAAUGGCCUCGACCGAAUACGUCGAGGUGUGACGGUACCGAGUGAGGAAGCCCCGGCUAACUCUGUGCCAGCAGCCGCGGUAAUACAGAGGGGGCAAGCGUUGUUCGGAAUUACUGGGCGUAAAGGGCGCGUAGGCGGCCGGCUAAGUCGAACGUGAAAUCCCCGGGCUCAACCCGGGAACUGCGUCCGAUACUGGUCGGCUUGAAUUCGGGAGAGGGAUGCGGAAUUCCAGGUGUAGCGGUGAAAUGCGUAGAUAUCUGGAGGAACACCGGUGGCGAAGGCGGCAUCCUGGACCGACAUUGACGCUGAGGCGCGAAAGCCAGGGGAGCAAACGGGAUUAGAUACCCCGGUAGUCCUGGCCCUAAACGAUGAAUGCUUGGUGUAGCGGGUAUCGAUCCCUGCUGUGCCGAAGCUAACGCAUUAAGCA
RNAcentral lists this ribosomal RNA (519 nucleotides) under uncultured bacterium. RNAcentral describes it as "bacterial SSU rRNA". It matches the Rfam family "Bacterial small subunit ribosomal RNA", at positions 355 to 866 of the family's 1533-position model. The record is from RNAcentral.